GCAUAACGCGAAGAACCUUACCAAGGCUUGACAUGCAUCUCUAAGCGCGUGAAAGCGCGUGACCCUUCGGGGGAUUUGCACAGGUGCUGCAUGGCCGUCGUCAGCUCGUGUCGUGAGAUGUUGGGUUAAGUCCCGCAACGAGCGCAACCCUUGUGACUAGUUGCCAGCACGUUAUGGUGGGAACUCUAGUCAGACUGCCCAGAUCAACUGGGAGGAAGGUGGGGACGACGUCAGGUCAGUAUGGCCCUUACGCCUUGGGCUGCACACGUACUACAAUGCCCAGUACAAUGAGAACCGAGACCGCGAGGUGGAGGAAAUACUAAAAAACUGGGCCCAGUUCGGAUUGGAGGCUGCAACUCGCCUCCAUGAAGUUGGAAUCGCUAGUAAUGGCGCAUCAUCUACGGCGCCGUGAAUACGUUCCCGGGUCUUGUACACACCG
This 439-nucleotide ribosomal RNA is filed under the name uncultured bacterium. RNAcentral's name for it is "bacterial SSU rRNA". It matches the Rfam family "Bacterial small subunit ribosomal RNA", at positions 954 to 1392 of the family's 1533-position model. The record is from RNAcentral.